Molecule: long non-coding RNA, 781 nt
Filed under: Triticum aestivum (bread wheat)
Lineage: Eukaryota; Viridiplantae; Streptophyta; Magnoliopsida; Poales; Poaceae
Description: long non-coding RNA (TAES_LNC014215)
Source: RNAcentral
CUCCCGAGUUCUUUCUCUCUCUCACGCAUCCCUCCCCCUCUCUCCACAGGAGCACCGAACCCGCCAUGGACAGGGAGCUCACAGCUCGCGCAGCCCGGAUCCGCCUCGUUCGCCCACACCCAACCAGAUCUGUCGUCUUCUGCCUCAGUUUCUUCGCCGCCGUCGUCGUAUUCUGGCUGGCUGCCACCGGACCUGACGCACGCAUCUCGCGUUAAGCCCUGCAUCACGCCGCCAACCUCCGGCCUCGUGCGCCUGCACGGGGCAGACACAACCAAGCCGUGCCUCGUGCGCUUGCACGGAAUGACGGCAUUGUGAGGCUCUGGCUGCUCCAUGGCGACGCGCGGCCGGCCGAGGGAGGUGCUACAGUGAGCUGCCGGCAAGGCUAGCGGCGGCGGAAGCGCAGGGGCUAGAGCGGUUGCUCCUAAAACUUUCCUCUAGCCAACCGUUUUCUAGUGGGAGCUGAAACAAGGCCCCGAACACUGAAGAUAUGAGGUACUAGUAGUUGGGUUCGAGCCCUAUUUUUCUUAUGGUUUGAUAGAAAUAUGUGGGAUCUGUUCGGAUCAGUUUUUUUUUGACACAAGCUGUAAACUGACGGUUAUUAUAAAGGCCGAGGCCUUUUACAGGAUCUCCUAGAGAUGCUCUUAGAUGGUUUAAUCAGUUAUGCUUAUGUUGUGGAAACCAAACUAUUUGACAAUUAUGCAUUUUAAUUUUAUGUCGACUGGUUAAUGAUAUUUUCUGUCUCUAAUGAGCUGUCUUAUGAUUGGUGAAAAUUAUAACUUUU